Long non-coding RNA from Thalassophryne amazonica, 1385 nucleotides. RefSeq lists it as uncharacterized. Lineage: Eukaryota; Metazoa; Chordata; Actinopteri; Batrachoidiformes; Batrachoididae. The transcript has 2 exons. The record is from RefSeq and is a predicted model, not a curated record.
UCAUAAACAAACUGCAACAUAUGUCCGCUUUCUACUGCAUCGUCACUUUUUCUUUGCAUUUUCACUUUGUUUGAUGUGUAAUUUGCCCCAAAACUCAGAGAAAGUGGCGCGUUUCUGAUGGGGAGAUACAAGGGCUGUCCCCGGAUGGAGGAUUAUUGUGUCAUAUUUUAACCCUUUAGUGCCCGCCCUCAAAUGAGACUGCGCUGCCCAGUUGACCUGAAACGGUUUGAGUUAAACACAUAUGACCUUUAGUUUCACCCUUGACGGCCAGCCAAGGUCAAAGAUUAUGGGACCAACUUCAUAUUAUCAUCAACUAGUUUGACCUUUCAAGGUCACCAAAGGUUUUGUGAUAUAUGACUUCAAAUUAGUGUUUAAUCGCAACCUCAGUAUGUAUAUAAUUGACUUUGACAACAUCAAAUCACUUUGUCCUUGGAUGACCCAAGUUUGGGCCAAUUUGGACUCAAACUCUUCAAGUUAUUUUGUUCAUAGACUUGGACACAGGACCAAAAACACAAUGCUGUUCAAAGUGGGUCCAACAAAAACAACUCUCAGAUUACUAAGAAUCUGUUUUUGUGUGUUGUUGCCAUAUCUUCUGUCUCUCAGUAACUGUAUGGGCGACUGUGGGUGUGUCAUAAUCAGGAAGCCGAGUGUUGACUGUUACAUAUGUCACGGCUGUCUAAAACAAGCCAUUUCAGGCUGAAAAGUUUUCUUGCAGCAGCAGAAUUUGUACAAACACAGUAAUAAAACUGCAGGACUUCACUGAUAUUUAACAUAAACCUCCCCUCCUCCCCAGAAAAUAUGUAACUCCAUAAGGCAGAUAAAAACUGUUAUUUCACCAUAUGACCCCUUUAAAUCUGGGAGAGAAAUAAAAAAGAUGGCGUGAAUGCGGUACAGAGCUAUGUAAAUUCCUUUUUUAAAAAGUCGAGUUACGCGAAAACAGUGUUUAACGUCGACAAUAAGGUAUCUGUGAAGAAAUGCCAAUGUUAAUAUUUAUUCUUUUAAUGAAAAUAAACUGCCAAAAUGGAAUAAUGACCGUGCUGUUAUUACAUAAAGGGGCAGCUGCAGUGGAAGUGCAAUAAAUGUGAUUGAAAACAAAGUUUGAACUGUCAUGUUUGAAUAAUCAAUCAAAAACACUCUGUUGAUAUAAUGUGUUCACACGAGCAAGAUUCACAGGGAAAAAAAAAAAAAUCCUUCACCUGAAGUUCAAGAUGGACAGAUUUUGAGAGAGAUGAAAAGAAAUCCGGGUACUUUUCAAACAUGCCGUGGAUGCUAUCUUACUGAAUCUUGCUCUUGGGUUCUCUGACAGUAUUGGUGGAAAAUUGUGUAUAUCUUGUUUAAAAACAAUUAAUUAAUACUUUAAUAAACUGUCCAUUUGUGCAGACUUU